GAGUGGAAGUGUUUGUCGCGAUGUGACCGUUCGUACGAUUGUAUCUUGUUUAUCGUUAACGCGUUUAAGAAAAAGAUGUGCAUUUUGUGGAAAUGUGCCUGUUUUCUGUAGCGACUCUUGAUUGUUAAAAGAUUUUAUUGACAAUAAAAUCAAUAUCAUUUGAUCGAAACAACCGCUGGAUUAUUUACAAAAGUAUAAUGGUUAUCGUCAGCGUAUUUAGCAGGGUAAAAGGCGGCUUUGGACUGGACACAGUAAUACGACAGUGAACUGUACAGCUUAUAUGCUAAAUUUGUUGUUUUGAAGUUCUAAUUGUGUGGUGAAUUGGUGAUAAGAAGUCGAAUGAAGUCGAAAAUAGUGAAGAUGAAAUAUUUGCCUACGGGCGGUCACAAGGAAUCUUAUACCUUAAUCACUGCGAGAAGAAGAUAUAUGAAGAAACUAAUGCGGCAGCACGUUUCGGCGCCAUGGAGCUCCACAACUACAGGCGGCACUCGUGCUCAGCACGAACUGUUUGAGUUGCUUGAGCGUGUACAAUGUUCUCGACUUGACGACCAGAGGGCGGUACUGCCACCUUACUUUUC
Molecule: long non-coding RNA, 578 nt
Organism: Achroia grisella
Lineage: Eukaryota; Metazoa; Arthropoda; Insecta; Lepidoptera; Pyralidae
Exons: 3
Source: RefSeq, a predicted model, not a curated record